This 506-nucleotide ribosomal RNA is filed under the name uncultured bacterium. RNAcentral's name for it is "partial 16S ribosomal RNA". It matches the Rfam family "Bacterial small subunit ribosomal RNA", at positions 29 to 523 of the family's 1533-position model. The record is from RNAcentral.
AGUGAACGCUGGCGGUAGGCCUAACACAUGCAAGUCGAACGGCAGCACAGGAGAGCUUGCUCUCUGGGUGGCGAGUGGCGGACGGGUGAGGAAUACAUCGGAAUCUACUUUUUCGUGGGGGAUAACGUAGGGAAACUUACGCUAAUACCGCAUACGACCUACGGGUGAAAGCAGGGGAUCUUCGGACCUUGCGCGAUUGAAUGAGCCGAUGUCGGAUUAGCUAGUUGGCGGGGUAAAGGCCCACCAAGGCGACGAUCCGUAGCUGGUCUGAGAGGAUGAUCAGCCACACUGGAACUGAGACACGGUCCAGACUCCUACGGGAGGCAGCAGUGGGGAAUAUUGGACAAUGGGCGCAAGCCUGAUCCAGCCAUACCGCGUGGGUGAAGAAGGCCUUCGGGUUGUAAGGCCCUUUUGUUGGGAAAGAAAUCCAGCUGGUUAAUACCCGGUUGGGAUGACGGUACCCAAAGAAUAAGCACCGGCUAGCUUCGUGCCAGCCGCCGCGGUAA